This 253-nucleotide ribosomal RNA is filed under the name uncultured bacterium. Its description in RNAcentral is "partial 16S ribosomal RNA". It matches the Rfam family "Bacterial small subunit ribosomal RNA", at positions 524 to 776 of the family's 1533-position model. The record is from RNAcentral.
UACAGAGGCCUCGAGCGUUAGGCGGAAUCACUGGGCUUAAAGCGUGUGUAGGCGGACUUCUAAGUGUCUUGUGAAAUCCCACGGCUCACCCGUGGAACUGCUGGGCAUACUGGCGAUCUUGGGCCAACUAGGGGCAGUCGGAACAAGCGGUGGAGCGGUGAAAUGCGUAGAUAUCGCUUGGAACGCCGAAGGUGAAAACAGACUGCUGGGGUUGCGCCGACGCUGAGACACGAAAGCCAGGGGAGCAAACGGG